UUAAUUGAAGAGUUUGAUCAUGGCUCAGAUUGAACGCUGGCGGCAGGCCUAACACAUGCAAGUCGAGCGGCAGCACAGAGAAACUUGUUUCUCGGGUGGCGAGCGGCGGACGGGUGAGUAAUGCCUGGGAAAUUGCCCUGAUGUGGGGGAUAACCAUUGG
RNAcentral lists this ribosomal RNA (160 nucleotides) under Vibrio vulnificus. RNAcentral describes it as "partial 16S ribosomal RNA". It matches the Rfam family "Bacterial small subunit ribosomal RNA", at positions 1 to 153 of the family's 1533-position model. Lineage: Bacteria; Pseudomonadati; Pseudomonadota; Gammaproteobacteria; Vibrionales; Vibrionaceae. The record is from RNAcentral.